CAGCCGCCGCGGGAAUACAGAGGGUGCAAGCGUUAAUCGGAAUUACUGGGCGUAAAGCGCGCGUAGGUGGUUUGUUAAGUUGGAUGUGAAAUCCCCGGGCUCAACCUGGGAACUGCAUCCAAAACUGGCAGGCUAGAGUAGGGCAGAGGGUGGUGGAAUUUCCUGUGUAGCGGUGAAAUGCGUAGAUAUAGGAAGGAACACCAGUGGCGAAGGCGACCACCUGGGCUCAUACUGACACUGAGGUGCGAAAGCGUGGGGAGCAAACAGGAUUAGAUACCCCAGUAGUCCCUGUCUCUUAUAC
RNAcentral lists this ribosomal RNA (301 nucleotides) under uncultured bacterium. RNAcentral's name for it is "partial 16S ribosomal RNA". It matches the Rfam family "Bacterial small subunit ribosomal RNA", at positions 509 to 807 of the family's 1533-position model. The record is from RNAcentral.